RNAcentral lists this non-coding RNA (331 nucleotides) under Solanum lycopersicum (tomato). RNAcentral's name for it is "Bacterial small subunit ribosomal RNA". It matches the Rfam family "Bacterial small subunit ribosomal RNA", at positions 688 to 1035 of the family's 1533-position model. Lineage: Eukaryota; Viridiplantae; Streptophyta; Magnoliopsida; Solanales; Solanaceae. The record is from Rfam by way of RNAcentral.
AAAUAGAAUAUAGAGAAACCCUAUUGGCGUCAAAGAAAGGAUCUAAUUGCUUCAGGUAAUAGUUGUCUCUACCGACGCUAAGGUGCGAAAGCAUGGGGAGAGAACACGAUUAGACACCCUGGUAGUCCAUGCCGUAAACAAUGAGUAUUCGCCCUUGAUCUACGCGGAUCUGGAGCCCAGCUAACGUGUCAAAUACUCCGCCUGGGGAGUACGGUCGCACGAUCGAAACUCAAAAGAAUUGAUGGGGGCUCUGCACAAGUUCACAAUUUCUUAAUUAGUACAAUUAUAUAUAUAUAUAUAUAUAUAUAUAUAUAUAUAUAUAUAUAUAUAU